ACUAUGGGGUGUUAAAUUUUUAUUUUGAAGUUGAUGGUCUAUAUCUGGAGACUGGAAAGCCACAGAAGUGUAGGCAUAUGAUUAUAGCAAACAAGAGAAGGAUCUAAAGGGAAAAUCGACUUCUAAAAGGAAAAACAAAUCUUUGCAAGUAGGACUUGCAGGCUUGUCCUAUGCUUUGAUCUGGGAGUGUUUUAAUGAUUUCUCUCUCCGUUGAACUAGGAGAUGGAGGAGGCCUUCAGGACAGGAGGGCUGGGCCUGGGAUUCAGCCCCUCCUCUCCCCUCUCCUGAAUGAAGUCUUUACCUUCUCCAACAAAGGCUGCAUUACUCACUGUGAGGUUUAUUGGGGGGAAGUUGCCAGAGAACAAUCCAGGUAUGAGCCUCAGCCCCAGUCCUCUCAGGUAUAGCCUGGAGAGUAAAGCACCCCCGAACCUAGUUGGGUCUAGGCCGAGAAGAUACGAAGAGUAAACAGCCCACAGCGAACCCUGCGUGCCAUGCACUGAGUGGGGUACCACGGGGACACAGGCCCUGCCUUCCAAGACACUUGCACUAGCGGCGAGACGGAGACCGUUUGGAGUCUCGGAGAAUUAAUCCAACCCUAGGGGAGUGUCUGCUGGCGUCUCAGUACAUCCAUCCCAGCUCCGAGGUCAGAGAAGGGAGGCGGGAGCCGGAACUCCAGCGCCUGCGGCGCGUGGGGUUGGGUAGCAUUCCUCACGCCGCCGCGGGGCCACGAGGCUGAGGGCGUGGCCCAUGCUGCGACUCCGCCUCUAUCCCCGCCCCGCGCGCGUUGCCAGGGUGAUCAGGUGACUCGGCGCUCCAGGCGGCUGUGACGUCAGGGGCGCCGCUGCUCUUCACUCACUCUGAGGCAGGUACACUUUGCAGGUCCUCAAUGAACCAAGGGAACCCUCCACCGUAUCCGGGCCCCGGUCCAACAGCCCCAUACCCACCUUAUCCACAACCACCAGUGGGGCCUGAGGCCUACCCUCCAGGACCUAUGGGAGGACCCUACCCCCCUCCUCAAGGGUACCCCUACCAAGGAUACCCACAGUAUGGCUGGCAAGGCGGACCUCAGGAGCCUCCUAAAACCACAGUGUACGUGGUGGAACAGGAAAGGAAGAAGGAUGACAGCGGGUGUCAGGCUGCCUUGGCUGCGUGCUGGGCUGCUCUCUGCUGCUGCUGCCUCCUGGACACCUUGGACUGAGCAGCCGAGACCCAAGCGUUCCUUCCAGGCGUGCUGCCUCCUGUAACCGGAAUGAACAACUAGUGCUGCAUGAUCUCUGCUUUUUCUUUCUUUGAAAAAUACCUAAUCUGCAGACUUUUAAAUUUUAGUACCCUUGAUAGGUAUGAAAUGGUAUCUAACUAUUCUAAUUUACCUUCCUUGAAUACUAGUGACCUUGAACAUAACAAUAUAAAUUUCGGGUGAUUUGCUUUUACAGAUAUUGUGAAUUGUUUGUGUAUAUUCUUAGCCCAUUUUUUUUUUCUAUUGGUCUGUCUUUUCUUACUGAGUUAUUUUCUUAAUGAUUUGUAGGCAAUCUUUAAAUAUUUCACACACUAUUUGUCACUCUUAUAGGCUUGCAAAUAUCUUCACCCUGUCUCAACCUUAUAGAAUAUUUUCUAGUAUGAAAUAUUUUAAAUGUCAUGUUUAUCAAUCUUUCCCUCAUGCUUUGUGUGUAUUUUAGUCUUUGAAAAAUCAUUUCCUAUUCCAAGUUCAUAAAGCUAAGCCUAUAUUUUCUUCUAAAAUUUUUUCACAUAGAAUCUUUAGACUACCUAGAGUUAUUUUUGAUUAUGCAUAGGAGAAGGUUCUGGUUUUCAGUUUUUAUUUUGGUAGUCCUAACACCAUUUAUUGAUUAGGUCAUCCUUUCCCUAUUGAUUUGAAAUGAGAUUUGUCAUAUAUACCAGGUUCCUAUAUAUGAUUGGGCUAGAAGCAGGAGUCUAGUAGGCUAAACACCUUCCCUAACCCCAGCACAUGCAUGCACACAUACUCAUUGUUUUUCUUCAGAAUUUUCUUGGCCUUUCACUCUUUAAUCUGGAUUUUAGGAUGAGUGUGUCAGUUUCUAUGGAAAACUACCAUGUCUGGCUUUAACUGGAAUGGCAUGUAAUUUAUAGAGUAAUUGGAGAAGAGUUGACAUAUUUACAAGAUUGUCUUCCUAUUUCGAACAUGGUAUCUAUUUUUGUGUUCUUUUAUCUCUUUAAAUAAAGUCACAUAAUUUUCUUCACA
Pteropus alecto (black flying fox) is the source of this 2215-nucleotide long non-coding RNA. RefSeq lists it as uncharacterized. The record is from RefSeq and is a predicted model, not a curated record. Lineage: Eukaryota; Metazoa; Chordata; Mammalia; Chiroptera; Pteropodidae. The transcript has 3 exons.